Long non-coding RNA from Onychostoma macrolepis, 844 nucleotides. RefSeq lists it as uncharacterized. The record is from RefSeq and is a predicted model, not a curated record. NCBI's taxonomy places the organism in Eukaryota, Metazoa, Chordata, Actinopteri, Cypriniformes, Cyprinidae. The transcript is spliced from 3 exons.
CUCAUGGAUUACUCUGUCGCUGGAGAUCUGCUGAAGUUUGCUGAUGUACAACUCGAUGGCGUCUGAGCACCAAGAUCUACAUUUCUGCAACCCUUAAAUUCUUCAAGUUUUAAGUUCCGGAAAAAUUCUCUGCCUGAUGUCCUCCUUCCAAAAAAAUAGACUGGGACCAAGAGCUAGAAUCUGAAUCUAGUUCCAAUGAAGACGACAACUGUAUGGUGGAGUUCUUUUUCCCCUUCCAGCGUGAUGGAUGCGGAUCCGACCUUCAGGGCAUGGAGGCAAAGAGUUGUGAAUAUUGUCUGAUCUCCAUUGCUACACUCUUCCAUUGGCAUAAUCUGUUGCAUCUCUCUCAGACUUGAUCUUUUUGGAGGAAAUGAUAUCUUGUUUAAGCUCAUUAUUACGUUGAUUGCAUUCAUGGAAAAAUCGAUGAAGUUCUUCUUCGUCUGGAUAUUCCUCCCAACAAGAUUACCUGGUUAAGAGAUCUAAAUGCAAAGAACAUUGUGUUAAUUGUUUUAUUCGUUAUUCUCCAUUGGCAAGAAACAUUGUAGGUAUCAUUCAGAAAUACAGGUACAUUGUUGAGAGCGACACCAAGUUGCAAUCGAUUUUUGUUAAACCACUUAAUACAUCCCCUAAUUUGUGUAACAUGCUGGUCAGGGGCAGAUCUGUGCGUUGCACAACCAGCACAUUGUUUGAGUAACAUAACUUGGGGUGAUUUUAAGUGCGGAUGCUAUCAACAAUGUAAUUUUACAUAUAAAACACAAACUUUUCAUCUUCCCUCUAUGCGAAAAAUGUUUAAGAUUCGAGAAACUAUGUACUAUUUUACAUGUUGCGUUGUCCUUGUGGACUU